This 685-nucleotide ribosomal RNA is filed under the name uncultured Staphylococcus sp. RNAcentral describes it as "bacterial SSU rRNA". It matches the Rfam family "Bacterial small subunit ribosomal RNA", at positions 68 to 738 of the family's 1533-position model. The record is from RNAcentral. Lineage: Bacteria; Bacillati; Bacillota; Bacilli; Caryophanales; Staphylococcaceae.
CAGACGAGGAGCUUGCUCCUUUGACGUUAGCGGCGGACGGGUGAGUAACACGUAGGUAACCUACCUAUAAGACUGGGAUAACUUCGGGAAACCGGAGCUAAUACCGGAUAAUAUUUCGAACCGCAUGGUUCGAUAGUGAAAGAUGGCUUUGCUAUCACUUAUAGAUGGACCUGCGCCGUAUUAGCUAGUUGGUAAGGUAACGGCUUACCAAGGCAACGAUACGUAGCCGACCUGAGAGGGUGAUCGGCCACACUGGAACUGAGACACGGUCCAGACUCCUACGGGAGGCAGCAGUAGGGAAUCUUCCGCAAUGGGCGAAAGCCUGACGGAGCAACGCCGCGUGAGUGAUGAAGGUCUUCGGAUCGUAAAACUCUGUUAUUAGGGAAGAACAAACGUGUAAGUAACUGUGCACGUCUUGACGGUACCUAAUCAGAAAGCCACGGCUAACUACGUGCCAGCAGCCGCGGUAAUACGUAGGUGGCAAGCGUUAUCCGGAAUUAUUGGGCGUAAAGCGCGCGUAGGCGGUUUUUUAAGUCUGAUGUGAAAGCCCACGGCUCAACCGUGGAGGGUCAUUGGAAACUGGAAAACUUGAGUGCAGAAGAGGAAAGUGGAAUUCCAUGUGUAGCGGUGAAAUGCGCAGAGAUAUGGAGGAACACCAGUGGCGAAGGCGACUUUCUGGUCUGUA